Molecule: ribosomal RNA, 479 nt
Filed under: uncultured Saprospiraceae bacterium
Lineage: Bacteria; Pseudomonadati; Bacteroidota; Saprospiria; Saprospirales; Saprospiraceae
Description: bacterial SSU rRNA
Rfam family: Bacterial small subunit ribosomal RNA
Source: RNAcentral
GAUGAACGCUAGCGGGAGGCUUAAUACAUGCAAGUCGAGGGGUAACAUGGGACUUCGGUUCUGAUGACGACCGGCGCACGGGUGAGUAACGCGUACACGACCUACCUUAUACUGGGGGACAUAUACUGGAAACGGAGUAAAUACCCCAUGUGAUUAUUAAUUCAAUUUUAUAAUUAAAGGUUUCGGCCGGUAUAAGAUGGGUGUGCGUCCCAUUAGGUAGUUGGUGAGGUAGAGGCUCACCAAGCCGACGAUGGGUAGGGGGCGUGAGAGCGUGAUCCCCCACACGGGUACUGAGACACGGACCCGACUCCUACGGGAGGCAGCAGUAAGGAAUAUUGGACAAUGGAGGCAACUCUGAUCCAGCCAUCCUGCGUGUAGGAAGACGGCCCUAUGGGUUGUAAACUACUUUUAUCAGGGAAGAAAAGUUUGCAUUUAUGCAGAUCUGACGGUACCUGAGGAAUAAGCACCGGCUAACUCCG